Molecule: transfer RNA, 76 nt
Filed under: Acidimicrobiales bacterium
Lineage: Bacteria; Bacillati; Actinomycetota; Acidimicrobiia; Acidimicrobiales
Also listed under: 1 other name
Description: tRNA-Phe
Rfam family: tRNA
About the family: Transfer RNA (tRNA) molecules are approximately 80 nucleotides in length. Their secondary structure includes four short double-helical elements and three loops (D, anti-codon, and T loops).
Source: RNAcentral
GGUCGGGUAGCUCAGUUGGCAGAGCGGCCGCCUGAAAAGCGGUAGGUCCCCGGAUCGACGCCGGGCCCGACCACCA